RNAcentral lists this ribosomal RNA (309 nucleotides) under uncultured eukaryote. Its description in RNAcentral is "partial large subunit ribosomal RNA". It matches the Rfam family "Eukaryotic large subunit ribosomal RNA", at positions 40 to 350 of the family's 3401-position model. The record is from RNAcentral.
AUAUCAGUAAGCGGAGGAAAAGAAACUAACAAGGAUUCCCUCAGUAACGGCGAGUGAAGCGGGAAGAGCCCAACUUUGGAAUCUGGCCGCGAGGUCUGAGUUGUAGUGUGGGACGCUGGUCUAAGGGGAAGAGGUGAGUGCAAGUCUCCUGGAAAGGGGCAUCAGAGAGGGUGAGAAUCCCGUUGCACUCAACCAAUUCUCCAGUUGACGGUGGUCGAAGAGUCGAGUUGCUUGGGAAUGCAGCUCAAAGAGCGGUGGUAAAUUCCAUCGAAGGCUAAAUAGCGGCAGGAGACCGAUAGCGCACAAGUA